CGACGAUGCGUAGGGGUUCUGAGAGGAAGGCCCCCCACACUGGUACUGAGACACGGACCAGACUCCUACGGAAGGCAGCAG
Molecule: ribosomal RNA, 81 nt
Filed under: uncultured bacterium
Lineage: Bacteria
Description: partial 16S ribosomal RNA
Rfam family: Bacterial small subunit ribosomal RNA
Source: RNAcentral